UAAGAUGGACUGGUAGGAAGAUUCAGAGACUAGUAAGAUUAUAAAAAAAAUUGGAGGAAGCACCAAGCUCCGUGGCUCAUUACAAUUGGGACUCAAAAUAAUUACACUAUAAGGGACGCAUUGUGCUUAUGAUAAAUUCUACUUGCAUCUUCACGAGCAGAUUUUGGACAAAGUUAUUCCAUAUGCAAGGUACUAAAUUGAAAAGGAGUAUGACAUAUCACCC
This 223-nucleotide long non-coding RNA is filed under the name Musa acuminata (dwarf banana). RNAcentral describes it as "long non-coding RNA (MACU_LNC008759)". Lineage: Eukaryota; Viridiplantae; Streptophyta; Magnoliopsida; Zingiberales; Musaceae. The record is from RNAcentral.